UCAUCUGUCCAUCAUCAACCAUUAACCAUCAACCAUCAUCGACUCUUACGCAUUUAAUGAAAAUGUUUUUUAUAAAUUAUUACGAGGUCUUAAACGAAUUUUUCAAUGUGGUUUAAUUUUUGAUUCUAUUUGUGUAAAGAUUUCCAUCUAUCGGUUAAAAUGGCGUGGUUCAUUAGCGUCAUGAAGAUGGCGUCAUCUGUCCAUCAAUCCAUCAUCAACCUCAUCGUUAAUUUACAAAUACAAACAAGAAAAAAAAUCGAUUUUGAAUCGUUUUUAUGUCAAGCAGACGCCAAGCAUCUUUGAAUAGCGUGGUCUGUGCUCUAUGAUAAGUGUUACUGCUGGAGUGAGCAAUUUCAGAUAGCGUCAUGAUGGCGUGCCCCGUUAGCGUCAUGAUGGCGUGCCCCGUUAGCGUCAUGGUUGGCGUGCCCUGUUAGCGUCAUGGUUGGCGUGCCCUAUGUAAGCGUCGUGAUUGGCGUGCCCUGUGUUAACACAAUAUGCUUUCUUUAUUCGUGUGCUGUGAUUUCAACACCAGCAUUGGUCAGAGGAGACUCGCAAGCAGCAAGCUAGAACCUCUUCAUCAGCCAGAAGCUUGCUACAAAGAAGUACACAGGGGCUGCACAGAUGUGCAACAAUUUUAUCGAGCCAUGGCAUCUGAGUGUGAUGGUGCCCUGUCAAUUUAUAAUAUGCCAACCCCUAACUAGCCUAGGAGUAAACAGGUUGAUUUGCAUUAUUUGGAUCUUCUCUAACAGAAAUCAACUGAGGACCACCAGACAGCAUCUUAACAGACGAGCUCUUCUAGUAAAAUUUUGAGUGAUGAUGGAGAUUGGGGUUGGUUUGCCCCUCCGAAGUCACGAAAGGAUUU
Molecule: RNA transcript, 862 nt
Organism: Daphnia pulicaria
Lineage: Eukaryota; Metazoa; Arthropoda; Branchiopoda; Diplostraca; Daphniidae
Exons: 7
Source: RefSeq, a predicted model, not a curated record